UUUUCUCUCCGGAUUUUUGUUUUACACUAAAAACGGUCACACUUUCGCUGAAAUAUUCAAAUUUACGUCGCAAUUUGUUUGUUUACUAACAAAAAAUUUGUAAUAAUAAAUGAUCUGUUCUGUGCGCGAGUAUACGCCAUUAUCAUUCAGGCUCAGCUUGUUGUAUGUUGUAUGUUGUAUCGGCGUCCAUACGGGACUCAUCAGGUGGAAUGGAACAGGCCGCCGACGCCGGGCGUUUGGCCAUGUCGAUGCAGGAGCUGGCUUUUGACCUGGAUGUUUUCCUCGUACGACACAGAAGAAAGAAGACGUGGAUCUCAAUGUGGAGCGCACCUGCAGGCCUGGAAUUCAACACGGCACCAAAAUGCCCCUUCUGGAUGUUAAACAAAACGUGAGAGAUCUCAACUACAAAAAAGACUCCAAGAAGCACUGAACCCAAAGUUCUUACCUUCCGCGAUAAGUUUGUUUUCGACAAGAUGAAGGCUGCUACCAUGGGGACUGGAGCAAGAAGGUUCCCCUUGACGUGGCUUGUUCGGUGGACGAAGUCUCCUGCCUUGCCAACGAUCAAAAUCAUAUUACAAGCAUCUACAAUCACUUAUAUAGAUAACGCUUAAGCUGAAUCACCUGCUAAAGCUGGAGACAGCGGACAUUACCGCUAAAGAAGGGUUGCUGGACUGCUGUGACCAAAUUCAAACAGAAAACUGUCCUGCGACGUGCCGAAAUUGGUUAGGUCGUCAUACAAGACGGCACCAAGAUCUUCUUCCAGGAAGGCCUGCAACGUGUGUUGCUCUUGAUCCAAGUCUGGUCGAUAGUCAAACGUACUACCUCCGCAGAGCAUCGAUCUAUGCAUUCAUUGCAAUGGUCUGUCUCCAGCUCUAGCAUCAUUUGGGAGUCGAAGAAGGAGGGCAAAAAGCGCUUUAAGGAGAUGACCGUACACGACACCGACGCUCUGAAGG
Molecule: long non-coding RNA, 953 nt
Organism: Drosophila pseudoobscura
Lineage: Eukaryota; Metazoa; Arthropoda; Insecta; Diptera; Drosophilidae
Exons: 3
Source: RefSeq, a predicted model, not a curated record